This 420-nucleotide ribosomal RNA is filed under the name bacterium. RNAcentral's name for it is "partial 16S ribosomal RNA". It matches the Rfam family "Bacterial small subunit ribosomal RNA", at positions 355 to 776 of the family's 1533-position model. The record is from RNAcentral.
UGGGGGAUAUUGCACAAUGGGCGAAAGCCUGAUGCAGCGACGCCGCGUGGGGGAUGAAGGCUUUCGGGUUGUAAACCUCUUUCGCUAUCGAACAAGGCCCGCUUAGGGUGGGUUGAGGGUAGGUGGAGAAGAAGCGCCGGCUAACUACGUGCCAGCAGCCGCGGUAAUACGUAGGGCGCGAGCGUUGUCCGGAAUUAUUGGACGUAAAGGGCUUGUAGGCGGCUUGUUGCGCCUGCUGUGAAAACGCGGGGCUUAACUUCGCGCGUACAGGGGGUGCGAGCAGGCUGGAGUGUGGUAGGGGUGGCUGGAGGUCCAGGUGUAGCGGUGGAAUGCGCAGAUAUCUGGAGGAACAACGAUGAGGAGGGCAGGUGACUGGGCCAUUACUGACGCUGAGGAGCGAAAGCAUGGGUAGCGAAGAGG